Molecule: ribosomal RNA, 253 nt
Filed under: uncultured bacterium
Lineage: Bacteria
Description: partial 16S ribosomal RNA
Rfam family: Bacterial small subunit ribosomal RNA
Source: RNAcentral
GACAGAGGCCUCAAGCGUUAGGCGGAAUCACUGGGCUUAAAGCGUGUGUAGGCGGAUCGUUAAGUACCUUGUGAAAUCCCCCGGCUCAACCGGGGAACGGCUGGGUAUACUGGCGGUCUUGAGCCACCUAGGGGCCUGCGGAACAAGCGGUGGAGCGGUGAAAUGCGUAGAUAUCGCCUGGAACGCCAAUGGUGAAAACAGCAGGCUGGGGGUGUGCUGACGCUGAGACGCGAAAGCCAGGGGAGCAAACGGG